CUUCCCCAGUUCAGAAACUCUUAGUUUGAUUCAACACAUGAGAAGAACUUCGAUCACUCUCUGGAUAGAGGAAGAGCCAUUCCUUAGUUGGAAAUCCGAAAAUGAAGACAUAUCUGGAUUGCAGUCAAGACUUUUCCUGCCCUGCCUCCCCCAAAUUAAACUCCUGCACUCCUAACUCCAGCUCACAGUCUGCUUCCCAGAGACACAACUCAUAUACUAUCACUCUUAAUCACUCUGUGAUGAUGACCACCUGAAAACACAGUAUAAAUUGAGUUUGUGACUUAAUAAAAUUAACAAUUUGUUACGUAAAGUAUAUGUCAACCACUGUGCUAAAUAUUUUAUAUUUACAUUGUAUGCUCUUUAA
Molecule: long non-coding RNA, 364 nt
Filed under: Mustela putorius furo (domestic ferret)
Lineage: Eukaryota; Metazoa; Chordata; Mammalia; Carnivora; Mustelidae
Description: lncRNA (ENSMPUG00000024124.1)
Source: RNAcentral